RNAcentral lists this ribosomal RNA (514 nucleotides) under uncultured Prevotella sp. RNAcentral's name for it is "bacterial SSU rRNA". It matches the Rfam family "Bacterial small subunit ribosomal RNA", at positions 8 to 507 of the family's 1533-position model. Lineage: Bacteria; Pseudomonadati; Bacteroidota; Bacteroidia; Bacteroidales; Prevotellaceae. The record is from RNAcentral.
AGAGUUUUGAUCCUGGCUCAGGAUGAACGCUAGCUACAAGGCUUAACACAUGCAAGUCGAGGGGAAACGGGAGAAUAGCUUGCUAUUCUUUGUCGUCGACCGGCGCACGGGUGAGUAACGCGUAUCCAACCUUCCCAUAACUAAGGAAUACCCCGUAGAAAUGCGGCCUAAUCCCUUAUGGUCUCUUAUGCCUGUCAUGGGAAUAAGAGUAAAGAUUUAUCGGUUAUGGAUGGGGAUGCGUCUGAUUAGCUUGCUGGCGGGGUAACGGCCCACCAGGGCAUCGAUCAGUAGGGGUUCUGAGAGGAAGGUCCCCCACAUUGGAACUGAGACACGGUCCAAACUCCUACGGGAGGCAGCAGUGAGGAAUAUUGGUCAAUGGGCGAGAGCCUGAACCAGCCAAGUAGCGUGCAGGACGACGGCCCUAUGGGUUGUAAACUGCUUUUUAAGGGGAAUAAAGAGGGGCACGCGUGCCCUGUUGCAUGUAGCCUUGGAAUAAGGACCGGCUAAUUCCGUG